This 438-nucleotide ribosomal RNA is filed under the name Prevotella sp. oral taxon G57. Its description in RNAcentral is "bacterial SSU rRNA". It matches the Rfam family "Bacterial small subunit ribosomal RNA", at positions 28 to 458 of the family's 1533-position model. The record is from RNAcentral. Lineage: Bacteria; Pseudomonadati; Bacteroidota; Bacteroidia; Bacteroidales; Prevotellaceae.
GAUGAACGCUGGCUACAGGCUUAACACAUGCAAGUCGAGGGGAAACGGCAUUGAGUGCUUGCACUGAAUGGACGUCGACCGGCGCACGGGUGAGUAACGCGUAUCCAACCUUCCCGUUAUGGGGAUAACUGCCGAAAGGCAGACUAAUACCGCAUGUUCUUGAUGACGGCAUCAGAUUCGAAGCAAAGACUCGUCGGUAACGGAGGGGGAUGCGUCUGAUUAGCUUGUUGGCGGGGCGACGGCCCACCAAGGCGACGAUCAGUAGGGGUUCUGAGAGGAAGGUCCCCCACAUUGGAACUGAGACACGGUCCAAACUCCUACGGGAGGCAGCAGUGAGGAAUAUUGGUCAAUGGGCGGAAGCCUGAACCAGCCAAGUAGCGUGCAGGAUGACGGCCCUACGGGUUGUAAACUGCUUUUAUGCGGGGAUAAAGUGAGGGA